AACCUUUUGUAGUUCAUGAGCACGAUGAUUGGGUUUUCACAUGCACGUGUGAAAUGUGUCUCCCUCAAAACCUUGUUAUGAGGUUGGCACGUUACCUGUCUGACA
Lemur catta (Ring-tailed lemur) is the source of this 105-nucleotide small nucleolar RNA. RefSeq annotates it as small nucleolar RNA U13. Lineage: Eukaryota; Metazoa; Chordata; Mammalia; Primates; Lemuridae. The record is from RefSeq and is a predicted model, not a curated record. The transcript has a single exon.